This 673-nucleotide ribosomal RNA is filed under the name uncultured bacterium. RNAcentral describes it as "bacterial SSU rRNA". It matches the Rfam family "Bacterial small subunit ribosomal RNA", at positions 56 to 708 of the family's 1533-position model. The record is from RNAcentral.
UGCAAGUCGAACGGUAACGACAGAAACAAUCCUUCGGGUGCGUUUCUGGGCGACGAGUGGCGGACGGGUGAGUAAUGCAUAGGAAUCUGCCCAGUAGCGGGGGACAACCUGGGGAAACUCAGGCUAAUACCGCAUAAGCCCUACGGGGGAAAGCGGGGGAUCUUCGGACCUCGCACUAUUGGAUGAGCCUAUGUCUGAUUAGCUUGUUGGUAGGGUAAUGGCCUACCAAGGCGACGAUCAGUAGCUGGUUUGAGAGGAUGAUCAGCCACACUGGGACUGAGACACGGCCCAGACUCCUACGGGAGGCAGCAGUGGGGAAUAUUGGACAAUGGGCGCAAGCCUGAUCCAGCAAUGCCGCGUGUGUGAAGAAGGCCUGCGGGUUGUAAAGCACUUUCAGUAGGGAGGAAAACCUCAGGAUUAAUACCCCUGUGGCCUGACGUAACCUACAGAAGAAGCACCGGCUAACUCCGUGCCAGCAGCCGCGGUAAUACGGAGGGUGCGAGCGUUAAUCGGAAUUACUGGGCGUAAAGCGCGCGUAGGUGGCUUGGUAAGUCGGAUGUGAAAGCCCCGGGCUCAACCUGGGAAUUGCAUUCGAUACUGCUUGGCUAGAGUAUGGUAGAGGGAAGUAGAAUUCCUGGUGUAGCGGUGAAAUGCGUAGAUAUUAGGAGGAAUG